Molecule: ribosomal RNA, 878 nt
Filed under: uncultured bacterium
Lineage: Bacteria
Description: bacterial SSU rRNA
Rfam family: Bacterial small subunit ribosomal RNA
Source: RNAcentral
AGAGUUUGAUCCUGGCUCAGGACGAACGCUGGCGGCGUGCCUAAUGCAUGCAAGUCGCACGCAGAGUGCUUGCACUCUGAGUGGCGCACGGCUGAGGACCACGUGGGAACAUGCCCUGCAGUGGGGGACAACACCGCGAAAGCGGUGCUAAUCCCGCAUACGCUCGCAAGAGGAAAGCUUGUCAAAGAGCGCUGCAGGAGUGGCCCGCGGCCCAUCAGGUCGUCGGUGGGGUAACGGCCUACCGAGCCGAUGACGGGUAGCUGGUCUGUGAGGACAGACAGCCAGACUGGGACUGAGACACGGCCCAGACUCCUACGGGAGGCAGCAGCAAGGAAUUUUCGUCAAUGGGCGCAAGCCUGAACGAGCAACGCCGCGUGCAGGAUGACGGCCUUCGGGUUGUAAACUGCUUUUCCGAGGGAAGACAUCGACGGUACCUCGGGAAUAAGGCUCGGCUAACUCUGUGCCAGCAGCCGCGGUAAGACAGAGGAGCCAAGCGUUGUCCGGAUUGACUGGGCGUAAAGCGCACGCAGGCGGAUGCGCGCGUGGGGUGUGAAAUCUGGCCGCUUAACGGCCAGGCGCCAUCCCAUACGGCGCGUCUGGAGUGAUGCAGAGGUCGAUGGAAUUGCCGGUGUAGUGGUGAAAUGCGUAGAGAUCGGCAGGAACACCCAGGGGGAAACCAGUCGACUGGGCAUCUACUGACGCUGAGGUGCGAGAGCGUGGGGAGCGAACCGGAUUAGAUACCCGGGUAGUCCACGCCGUAAACGAUGGCCACUCGGCCUUUGGCGACGGAACCUCCGUCGCUGGGGGCCUUAGCUAACGCGGGAAGUGGCCCGCCUGGGAACUACGAGCGCAAGCUUAAAACUCAAAGGAAUUGACGG